This is an RNA transcript of Osmerus eperlanus (European smelt), 1939 nucleotides long. It is a transcript of the gene named activating signal cointegrator 1 complex subunit 1, with no coding region annotated. NCBI's taxonomy places the organism in Eukaryota, Metazoa, Chordata, Actinopteri, Osmeriformes, Osmeridae. The transcript is spliced from 11 exons. The record is from RefSeq and is a predicted model, not a curated record.
UGUCGCAAAAUAAUAGUCGUAAAAUACCAAAGAAUCGACCCACUGUUGCAAAAUACAAGUAACACAUUUAGUUAGCAAUUUAGCGAAAUAGCUUCAUAAAAUGGACAUUUUACGUCCAGCGUUGAUAAACAUAAAUGGCAGGAUAUACAGGAGAAAUGUCAUAAAAGAAGACCAGUACGAAGAUGAGGAAGAGGAAGAGUUUUCGUACAUGGAAGAGAGUGAACUUGUAGAUGAACCCUGUGACAACCACCCCAUAGAACAGACAGAUAAGGGUUACCGCUGUGCCAUUGAUGUUCCAAGUAUUCUUUACAAGUACAUCAUUGGCAAGAAAGGAGAGACACGUAGGCGCCUUGAGGCCGAUACAAAGACAUCCAUCGACAUUCCAAAACAGGGACUGGAAGGACAGAUUGUUGUCAUAGGCUCCCAGAAGGCAGCAGUCAGUUCUGCAGUCACGCGCAUUGAGGUCCUGGUGGAGAGCUUUCGGAGGAAACAGCCUUUCACCCACUUCCUGUCCUUUGCUUUGAGCCACCCUCAAAUCCAAGAAGGAUUCCUGAGGUUCAAAGAGGAAGUCUUGAAGAACUGUUCAAAGGAUAAUGGAGUAGGUGAAAGCAUCUUUCAGAAUCCUGCUAAGCUUCACCUCACAGUUGGCACUCUAGUUCUACUGAAUGACAUGGAAGUAACCAAAGCCUGUGAACAGCUCCAGCAGUGUGAGGACAUUAUCAAGAAAAUUACAGGGGUGGGCCUUCCUUUGGAGGUCACUGGGAUAGAGUACAUGAAUGAUGACCCCGCCAUGGUGGAUGUCCUGUAUGCCAAGGUCAAUGCUAAAGAUGGAUCUGACAAGCUUCAGCAGGUCGCAGAACAGCUUGUGGAGAACUUUGUCUCAGCAGGGUUGAUGGUUAGAGAGUGGGACAGAGUAAAACUCCAUGGAACUGUCAUGAACACACUGUUUAGAAAACAUCCCUCAGCUGAAGACAAUGGAGGUCCAGGAAAACAGAACAGGGAGUCCUUUGAUGCAAGAAACAUACUAAAGGCUUUUGGAUCAUACUACUUUGGGGAGUUUAGUUUGAACACUGUCCAACUUUCCCAGAGGUACUCUACUGACUGCACUGGCUACUACACCUCAGCAAGCUGCAUUACCUUCUCAUGAAGAGUCUUGUGGACUGAGCAUCAUAUAGUACAUUAGCACACAUACAGGUGAAAUGCUUCCAAUGCUGUCUGCCUAGCCCAGAGUACACUGACGCAAUGGGGGGCGGAGAUUAAUACCAUGUUGGAGAGGUGGACGACCAACAGUGUAGAUAGACAGUCUGCUCCCCCCCAGCAGCUAUGGGCAGCAGACAGCAACUCUAUCUCUGCUUCUAACACAAUGGACCUCAUCUUUAUCUCCAGAUCCUCUAAGCAGGUACCAUGAAUCAGACUACUUGGUGUGCCAUGCUGAGUGUCUACCCUAUCAAGGUCAGGCUUCAGAUGAACAGUGUCCUGUUAAAAUGUGUCUCAAGUGUUUUCCAUUGGGCGGGAGAAAUGCCUGGAUUUCAAUGAUCUGCAAUAAAGUCCAAGCAUUAAAUCUUGGUUUGUGACAUUUGAGGAUUCCCUUUUUUAAGGAUGGCAAAAUUAACCAAGGAUUAUGUUAAUAAAUCAUAGUUUCCACUGUUUGUCAUUGAGCAGCUAAAUGGACAUCUACAUUCUAUAUAUUAUUGUCUGAUGUAAAGACCUGAACAUUUUUGUUUUAAUCUGACUAUAGGUCAUGUGUGAGUAGCCAAUAGAGUGAGGAGGUACUACUAAACACGUCUGCCAAUUCAUCUCUGGCAGAUAGUUUGGUCUCUGCCCUAUUUACAUUUUGCAGAUAACAAAUAUUUGCAGAUUACAGCAUUUGCCGAUAACCAACUCGGGGUGUAUUCAAUUUGACUGUCUUGUUGUGAUUCAAAUAAAGUGCUUCUCUCUU